GUCACAUGACAGGCGAUUGGCUGAUGGCAGAUUUCACAUCUGGAGGUUUCUGCACCAGCCGAGCAACUGCCAUUGAAAUGAAUGGGAAUGCUAACGGAUACAUUUCUACAGUGGUGUUCAAGCAUGGACGAGAUAAUCAAGGAGGCGCUCUGACGUCGGCUUGGAUGAGGAAACCGUAGGACCACCCAUUGGGCUCGGAGGAGAGAGAUUCCCUGCACGCCGUCUCUCUGGAAUAUUAAUGGGCUUCUCCUGGGAAAACUGCCCACAGAAUGGGCCGCUCCAUCGCUGUCUCUGUUUCCGCUCAGCUGUCCUGAGGGUUCGUGAGGGUGUGAGCUGCUUCGGGACAAUCCGGCCUGGACGAACCUCAAGUACACCUCAAACUUGUGUUUUGAUGUUUCAUUAAGAACCCUUAAAGUUGACGUUUUCUUCCAGAAUGUCAGUAAAAUAUAUUGCUGUUUUUAUUGCGCAAUGAAAAACUCAGGAACGGCUACAUUUAAUAUGCGAAAUUCCUCAGUCUCAAUUUUAUUGCAGUAAUCAAUAAUAAGACAUAUUGAUUGAAAUUGGGAAUAGCUCGUUCGAGCACUGAGAAGAGGUGACACUGAUGGCGAUCACCACUGGUUUUCAUCAGUCUUUCCCACUCGAUGGCAGAGCUCGCGAGACAUUUCAUCUGGUUCAGCGUUAUGAGAGAGACCAUCCUAAUGGCUUCUACAGAUGCAGAGCUCGCUGAAGUCAUAGCUCUUUUCCUUCAAUCCCUCUCACAUUCUUUAUCUGUAUUUGACUCUCUGUCACUUGCUUUCAGUCAUUCCACCAUUUCCUCUGCCCCCGUCUGGGUCUCUGAGGUGAGGGUUGAGUUUUCUGCACAUUCAUGUGAAGAAUCUAGUCUUUAUAAGUGUGCCAAGCUGUGAAUAUAAAAUGAAUUUUUAAUGGCAUGGAAUUGCAAUUACAAACUGUGUUGGAAUUACAAAUGCACAGACAU
Long non-coding RNA from Pimephales promelas (fathead minnow), 976 nucleotides. RefSeq lists it as uncharacterized. The record is from RefSeq and is a predicted model, not a curated record. NCBI's taxonomy places the organism in Eukaryota, Metazoa, Chordata, Actinopteri, Cypriniformes, Leuciscidae.